Molecule: ribosomal RNA, 448 nt
Filed under: Citrobacter freundii
Lineage: Bacteria; Pseudomonadati; Pseudomonadota; Gammaproteobacteria; Enterobacterales; Enterobacteriaceae
Description: bacterial LSU rRNA
Rfam family: Bacterial large subunit ribosomal RNA
Source: RNAcentral
ACGAUGUGGGAAGGCACAGACAGCCAGGAUGUUGGCUUAGAAGCAGCCAUCAUUUAAAGAAAGCGUAAUAGCUCACUGGUCGAGUCGGCCUGCGCGGAAGAUGUAACGGGGCUAAACCAUGCACCGAAGCUGCGGCAGCGACACUAUGUGUUGUUGGGUAGGGGAGCGUUCUGUAAGCCGUUGAAGGUGUAUCGUGAGGUAUGCUGGAGGUAUCAGAAGUGCGAAUGCUGACAUAAGUAACGAUAAUGCGGGUGAAAAACCCGCACGCCGGAAGACCAAGGGUUCCUGUCCAACGUUAAUCGGGGCAGGGUGAGUCGACCCCUAAGGCGAGGCCGAAAGGCGUAGUCGAUGGGAAACAGGUUAAUAUUCCUGUACUUGGUGUUACUGCGAAGGGGGGACGGAGAAGGCUAUGUUAGCCGGGCGACGGUUGUCCCGGUUUAAGCAUGUA